GCUUACGGCCACACCACGCAGGGCACGCCUGAUCUCGUUUGAUCUCGGAAGCCAAUCUGCGUCGGGCCUGGUUAGUACUUGGACGGAAGCACUGAAUUGUUUGAUUGCACGUAGACU
Molecule: ribosomal RNA, 117 nt
Filed under: Acanthochromis polyacanthus (spiny chromis)
Lineage: Eukaryota; Metazoa; Chordata; Actinopteri; Pomacentridae
Source: RNAcentral